ACUAGACUCGUUCAGAAACCGUUGCGCUGCUACAAUAAUUUUUAUUUUUUAUAGCGCAUUGCGUGCUGGCAGAAAGACAAAAGCCAGGCCCAGUGGAUGAAUGAAAGCCAGCCAGAAAGCGAGAAACAAGGAAGGAAGGUCCAAUAGCGCUGGCAGAGCAAAAGCCAGUCGUAAAAGUAUAAACAACAAAAGUGAUUAACAUAAAGCAUAAACAUGCAGUUCGCUGGGGCCUUAGCCCUAGGCACUUUUGAUGGUGAUGAUGCCCCUUGAUGGUAAUGGCGAUGGCGAUGGCGAUGGCGAUGGCGAUGGCGUUGUCGAUGUCGACGAAGAUGCCGCAAUGGAAAGCCGAGUCAGCAAGUCAAAAAUCAGACAAAACACGGCCCCAGACAAUAUAGCGAUAAUCCAGUGGAUCCAAUAUGAAUCAAAUGGAAACCUGCUGCAGUUUGAUGCCAUAAAGGCGUCUUAACGGUUCUCGCUUGUGGCCAAGUCGCAGUUGCGCUGCUGCUGAAAAGAAAAGAACCAAGGGAGCGCCCAAAGGUGUUGGAAAAAUACUAACAAGACCGCCGCGCAGAAAGAGCGAAGAAAGACAGAAGCUGAAAAAGACUGAGCAGCGUUUGCAUUAUGCGGUUUAAUAGCUUUUACAUAACACCUGACUGGAGACGAAGUCGGAGCAAAAGCAGCGGCUGCAACUGACCGACAGCCCACAACAACCUACGCAAAGUGCGUGGGUAGCAAGCGGCGGCGUCUUGAAGAGCCAAACCGAUCGAGUCAGCGGCUUGGAAAAUUGGCGCGUGCGAAUGCUCCUGAUGCCGGAGCUCGCUCGUGGUUAGCCACGGCUCUUCGCUGGAAGAAUCAAUGCUAAUCAGCGAGGGCUGGUCGAGAAGUCGGCAAGUGAAAGCAGGAAGACAAUGGUUUACGCAAUGGCCAGUCAAGUGACAAAAGCAUUUCACAAAAAUCAUAUCGAAAUUCACGAAUGCGAUUAAGCAGCGC
Drosophila gunungcola (fruit fly) is the source of this 990-nucleotide long non-coding RNA. RefSeq lists it as uncharacterized. The record is from RefSeq and is a predicted model, not a curated record. The transcript is spliced from 3 exons. Lineage: Eukaryota; Metazoa; Arthropoda; Insecta; Diptera; Drosophilidae.